AUUGAACGCUGGCGGCAGGCCUAACACAUGCAAGUCGAACGAGAGGCGGACGGGUGAGUAAUGUAUGGGAAACUGCCUGAUGGAGGGAGUUAACGACUGGAAACGGUAGCUAAUACCGCAUACCAUCAGAUGUGCCCAGAUGGGAUUAGCUUGUUGGUUGGGUAACGCCACACAACGGCGACGAUCCCUAGCUGGUCUGAGAGGAUGACCAGCCACACUGGAACUGAGACACGGUCCAGACUCCGACGGGAGGCAGCAGUGGGGAAUAUUGCACAAUGGGCGAAAGCAUGAUGCAGCAAUGCCGCGUCGAUGAAGAAGGUCUUCGGGUUGUAAAGCACUUUCAGCGGGGAGGCGUUACCCGAAGAAGAAGCACCGGCUAACUCCGUGCCAGCCGCCGCGGUAAUUC
Molecule: ribosomal RNA, 406 nt
Filed under: uncultured bacterium
Lineage: Bacteria
Description: partial 16S ribosomal RNA
Rfam family: Bacterial small subunit ribosomal RNA
Source: RNAcentral